CACACUUAUUUACAGAAAUAAACGACAUUUUGUUUUAAUCGAUGUCCCGUUUCAACUGUUCAUAAUGCAUGACUGUGAUUUCGUAAUGCACGGGUGUGGUUUCGUAAUGCAUGACUGAGAUUUCGUAAUGCAUGACUGAGAUUUCGUAAUGCAUGACUGAGAUCUCGUAAUGACUGGCUGUAGCAAUUUCUCCAUUCAUAAUGACCAGAUGUCGAAAUUUUCCUUUUAUAAAGCAUGGGCAUUUCUAUACAUAUUGUAGUAAGUUGGUUAAUAAUAUAAAAUAUUUAC
Molecule: long non-coding RNA, 288 nt
Filed under: Mytilus galloprovincialis (Mediterranean mussel)
Lineage: Eukaryota; Metazoa; Mollusca; Bivalvia; Mytilida; Mytilidae
Source: RNAcentral